RNAcentral lists this ribosomal RNA (466 nucleotides) under uncultured bacterium. RNAcentral describes it as "partial 16S ribosomal RNA". It matches the Rfam family "Bacterial small subunit ribosomal RNA", at positions 29 to 507 of the family's 1533-position model. The record is from RNAcentral.
ACGAACGCUGGGGCGUGCUUAACACAUGCAAGUCGAACGGAAAGGCCCUGCUUUUGUGGGGUGCUCGAGUGGCGAACGGGUGAGUAACACGUGAGUAACCUGCCCUUGACUUUGGGAUAACUUCAGGAAACUGGGGCUAAUACCGGAUAGGAGCUCCUGCUGCAUGGUGGGGGUUGGAAAGUUUCGGCGGUUGGGGAUGGACUCGCGGCUUAUCAGCUUGUUGGUGGGGUAGUGGCUUACCAAGGCUUUGACGGGUAGCCGGCCUGAGAGGGUGACCGGCCACAUUGGGACUGAGAUACGGCCCAGACUCCUACGGGAGGCAGCAGUGGGGAAUAUUGCACAAUGGGCGGAAGCCUGAUGCAGCAACGCCGCGUGCGGGAUGACGGCCUUCGGGUUGUAAACCGCUUUCGCCUGUGACGAAGCGUGAGUGACGGUAAUGGGUAAAGAAGCACCGGCUAACUACGUG